CACGUAGGGUGCAAGCGUUGUCCGGAAUUAUUGGGCGUAAAGAGCUCGUAGGCGGUCUGUCGCGUCGGAUGUGAAAUCCCAGGGCUUAACCCUGGGCCUGCAUUCGAUACGGGCAGACUAGAGUUCGGUAGGGGAGACUGGAAUUCCUGGUGUAGCGGUGAAAUGCGCAGAUAUCAGGAGGAACACCGGUGGCGAAGGCGGGUCUCUGGGCCGACACUGACGCUGAGGAGCGAAAGCGUGGGGAGCAAACAGG
This 253-nucleotide ribosomal RNA is filed under the name uncultured bacterium. Its description in RNAcentral is "partial 16S ribosomal RNA". It matches the Rfam family "Bacterial small subunit ribosomal RNA", at positions 524 to 776 of the family's 1533-position model. The record is from RNAcentral.